Molecule: long non-coding RNA, 1038 nt
Organism: Melitaea cinxia (Glanville fritillary)
Lineage: Eukaryota; Metazoa; Arthropoda; Insecta; Lepidoptera; Nymphalidae
Exons: 3
Source: RefSeq, a predicted model, not a curated record
UACCCUACUAAAGAAGCCAUUUUUCGAAACAGCAGGAUAUGAUCACAUAUUUAAUAAGAAACCAUGUUAACCCUUAACUUCCUGAGUCAACUGGACUCACAUUGAAAUUUUAAACUACUAUAAUUUUAAAGUUUUAGCGACUAGUUUCCCCCCCGUCCCAGUACCUUCCUCCAGUGACGCCGGUAUCGCGGUGGCAAGAGGACGUGUGCCUGCUGCUCGUAUUUGGUUGUCUGGAACCAAGUUUACUGCAGUCUAUGGCGCAGAACACAAGACUCCGUUUUGAACAGUGUUCAACUCGAUGGAAGACAUCUGGAUGACAUACUGUUUAAAAAAAAAAAUGCGCAUUUCUAUUCUCUUGUUCAAUGCUCUUAAUAAAACUUUGUAUCAAUUAUUACGUUUUUUAUUUAAGUUUGAAAAUAUAAAUUUGCCACCAAACACCUGUAUGUAUGUAUAUAUAUACAUCCUGCUAAUAAUUAGGCGUCCCACAUGGGCCGAAAUGCAUCUAAACUGGCGUCCACCUCCUUUAGACGUCCGCAUACCGGACGCCACUUUUUUAAUCGAUGUCCCUAUUGUCCUUUUGGCUCUAGCUACCUGUAUAACAAAAAUCGCCGGAAGGCAAAAAAUCAUUGAGAUAUUUGCAUUUGUAUAACUAAAACUUCCGCGAAAUCCCGCACCAACGGUGCGGCGCCAGUCUAGCGCGUAUAUCGACAGAGCGUAUACUCUGCUAAAACUCUUCCUAUACAACCGAUUAUUUGGCGUCCUAUUGCGACGUUGCCAAACGGACUGUAUUUGAAGGUUUUGAAAUAUUCAAUCAAGUAAAAACAAAUCAUUUAAAAACAGUUUGCCGAAAUUGCUACGCACGUGUCGCUGCUUAUUUGACGCUCGGUUGAAUAGUACAAUAAAAUAAAAAAAUAAAAUAAAAGUUAAAAUGAAAAAAUGAGUCUUCAACGACUUCGUAGUGCAAGGAUUUUAAAAUUAACUCAAUUCAAAGGACUACGUUCGUCUUCAGGACAUCAACAAAACAUUAAUGACAAAGAA